GUAGGUGGCAAGCGUUGUCCGGAUUUACUGGGCGUAAAGAGCGCGCAGGCGGUCGUUCAAGUCGCGUGUGAAAGCCCCCGGCUCAACUGGGGAGGGUCACGCGAUACUGAUCGACUCGAAGGCAGGAGAGGGAAGUGGAAUUCCCGGUGUAGUGGUGAAAUGCGUAGAUAUCGGGAGGAACACCAGUGGCGAAGGCGACUUCCUGGCCUGUUCUUGACGCUGAGGCGCGAAAGCUAGGGGAGCAAAYKKGAKKAGAUACCCCGGUAGUCCUAGCCGUAAACGAUGGACACUAGGUGUUGGUGGUAUCAACCCCGCCAKUSCYUKWAACGAACGCAUUAAGUGUCCCGCCUGGGGAGUACG
This 360-nucleotide ribosomal RNA is filed under the name uncultured bacterium. RNAcentral's name for it is "partial 16S ribosomal RNA". It matches the Rfam family "Bacterial small subunit ribosomal RNA", at positions 527 to 884 of the family's 1533-position model. The record is from RNAcentral.